Molecule: ribosomal RNA, 447 nt
Filed under: uncultured bacterium
Lineage: Bacteria
Description: partial 16S ribosomal RNA
Rfam family: Bacterial small subunit ribosomal RNA
Source: RNAcentral
UCCAGACUCCUACGGGAGGCAGCAGUGGGGGAUAUUGCACAAUGGGGGAAACCCUGAUGCAGCGACGCCGCGUGAGUGAAGAAGUAAUUCGUUACGUAAAGCUCUAUCAGCAGGGAAGAAAAUGACGGUACCUGACUAAGAAGCCCCGGCUAACUACGUGCCAGCAGCCGCGGUAAUACGUAGGGGGCAAGCGUUAUCCGGAAUUACUGGGUGUAAAGGGAGCGCAGACGGCAGUGCAAGUCUGGAGUGAAAGCCCGGGGCCCAACCCCGGGACUGCUCUGGAAACUGCGGCGCUGGAGUACGGGAGGGGCAGGCGGAAUUCCUGGUGUAGCGGUGAAAUGCGUAGAUAUCAGGAGGAACACCGGUGGCGAAGGCGGCCUGCUGGACUGCAACUGACGUUGAGGCCCGAAAGCGUGGGGAGCAAACAGGAUUAGAACCCUUGUAAUU